Long non-coding RNA from Etheostoma spectabile (orangethroat darter), 112 nucleotides. RefSeq lists it as uncharacterized. Lineage: Eukaryota; Metazoa; Chordata; Actinopteri; Perciformes; Percidae. The transcript has 3 exons. The record is from RefSeq and is a predicted model, not a curated record.
GUCUUUGGUGUUUUAAUAAACACUUAGCUGAUUGACACAACUGUCCUGUUCGUUUCCAGUUUUUUAAAAUGUGAGGAUUUUUCUGCAUUGAGUACUUCACUUUCAAGACUUU